GACGAACGCUGGCGGCGUGCUUAACACAUGCAAGUCGAGCGGUAAGGCCCUUUCGGGGGUACACGAGCGGCGAACGGGUGAGUAACACGUGGGUGACCUGCCCUCAGCUCUGGGAUAAGCCUGGGAAACCGGGUCUAAUACUGGAUAUGACUCCAUGACGCAUGUUGUGGGGUGGAAAGCCUUGUGCGGCUGAGGAUGGGCCCGCGGCCUAUCAGCUUGUUGGUGGGGGAUGGCCUACCAAGGCGACGACGGGUAGCCGGCCUGAGAGGGCGACCGGCCACACUGGGACUGAGACACGGCCCAGACUCCUACGGGAGGCAGCAGGUGGGGAAUCUUGCGCAAUGGGCGAAAGCCUGACGCAGCGACGCCGCGUGAGGGAUGACGGCCU
This 388-nucleotide ribosomal RNA is filed under the name uncultured bacterium. Its description in RNAcentral is "bacterial SSU rRNA". It matches the Rfam family "Bacterial small subunit ribosomal RNA", at positions 28 to 417 of the family's 1533-position model. The record is from RNAcentral.